CUACGGGCGGCAGCAGUGAGGAAUUUUGCGCAAUGGGCGAAAGCCUGACGCAGCAACGCCGCGUGAGUGAUGAAGGCCUUCGGGUCGUAAAGCUCUGUCAAGUGGGAAGAACCUAUGUAAUGUUAAUAUCAUUAUAUACUGACGGUACCACUGAAGGAAGCACCGGCUAACUCCGUGCCAGCAGCCGCGGUAAUACGGGGGGUGCAAGCGUUAUUCGGAAUCAUUGGGCGUAAAGGGCACGUAGGCGGCCUGGUAAGUCAGAUGUGAAAGCCCGGGGCUUAACCCCGGAAGUGCAUUUGAUACUGUCAGGCUUGAGUAUGGGAGAGGGAAGUGGAAUUCCUGGUGUAGAGGUGAAAUUCGUAGAUAUCAGGAGGAACACCGGUGGCGAAGGCGACUUCCUGGACCAAUACUGACGCUGAGGUGCGAAGGCGUGGGUAGCAAACAGGAUUAGAUACCCUGGUAGUC
This 465-nucleotide ribosomal RNA is filed under the name uncultured bacterium. Its description in RNAcentral is "partial 16S ribosomal RNA". It matches the Rfam family "Bacterial small subunit ribosomal RNA", at positions 339 to 795 of the family's 1533-position model. The record is from RNAcentral.